AUGAGAACCAGGACCUGGCCCAGGUACUGGUUUCCGUCCCAGCUCCCUGCUGCUCCUUAUACCGGUGCAGGCAGAGGGGUCCUGAUUCCACAGCCUGGACUCAGAUCUCUGCUACCCACAAUGCGAGCAUUGAGGGUCUGGGACAGAGCUAGCUGGGAGCCCAGUGUUGUGCUGGGGAUGGCCAUGGAGGGGCUGCUGGUUCCAUGUCUCUUUGUGUCCAUCACACCCAGCCCAUUUUCUGUCCUCCUUCUGUGCCAUAGAGUGCUGGGAAAAGGCUCCUGGCCCUGCCAAGAGGAGGGCAAUCCCAGGUCUCCUUCCUUGGGCCAUGGUGCCAUCUCCCAGCUUCUGCUUCUCUGCGGGCUGCUGGGAGAGCCAUUGUACAAACAGCCAAUCUCCUGCACUGGAACGACUUCCGGGAGCUGGUUGAAAAACAGGAGAUGUGGAGGAUUGCGGAGUGCUAGCUGCAGUGGGACCAGAGUAGGGCAGAGGAAUACCUGCAGCAGAGCCAGCCCUUCCUGUAGGACCCUCAGGAGCCCCUUGAGCGGAUCCCAGUGCCCUGGUGCCUUGCUCAGGCCCUCCUCGGCCACUCUCGCUGCUGGGGAGCAAUGCAGUUCUGCUGCUGGGAGCAGGAUCUCACAGGUGCUCUGUGCCUAGGGCUUGCUGCGCGCUACUCAAGGGA
This 679-nucleotide long non-coding RNA is filed under the name Phasianus colchicus (ring-necked pheasant). RNAcentral's name for it is "lncRNA (ENSPCLG00000014138.1)". The record is from RNAcentral. Lineage: Eukaryota; Metazoa; Chordata; Aves; Galliformes; Phasianidae.